UGGUCAAGUUAUUAAGGGUGCAGGGCGGAUGCCUUGGCACUAGGAGCCGAUGAAGGACGUGAUAAGCUGCGAUAAGCUUCGGGGAGUUGCACGUAAACUUUGAUCCGAAGAUUUCCGAAUGAGGAAACUCACUUAGAGUAAUGUCUAAGUAUCAUUAAGUGAAUACAUAGCUUAAUGAGGGGAACUCAGGGAACUGAAACAUCUAAGUACCCUGAAGGAAGAGAAAGAAAUUCGAUUCCGUAAGUAGCGGCGAGCGAACGCGGAUUAGCCCAAACCAAUAAAGUUUUCUUUAUUGGGGUUGCGGACAUAUCAUAACGAAGAGGUAUCGUAAUUGAAGAGGUUUGGAAAGACCCACCACAGAAGGUAAUAGUCCUGUAUGUUAAACGAGAAGACUUCAGAUAUGAUCCAGAGUACCACGGGACACGUGAAACCCUGUGGGAAGCAGGAGGGACCACCCUCCAAGGCUAAAUACUACCUAGUGACCGAUAGCGUAUAGUACCGUGAGGGAAAGGUGAAAAGAACCCCGGGAGGGGAGUGAAAUAGAACCUGAAACCCUGCACUUACAAGCUGUGGAAGCACAUUUCUUGUGUGACCGCGUACUUUUUGUAGAACGGGCCAACGAGUUACGUUAAGUAGCAAGGUUAAGCACUUAAGGUGCGGAGCCGUAGCGAAAGCGAGUUUUAACUGAGCGUUCAGUUACUUGACGUAGACCCGAAACCGGGCGACCUACCCAUGAGCAGGAUGAAGCGAAAGUAAAAUUUCGUGGAGGUCCGAACCCACGAGCGUUGAAAAGCUCGGGGAUGACUUGUGGAUAGCGGUGAAAUUCCAAUCGAGCCCGGAGAUAGCUGGUUCUCCCCGAAAUAGCUUUAGGCUAGCCUCAAGGUGAGAGAUACGGAGGUAGAGAGCACUGAAUGUCCUAGGGGGUAUUGCACCUACCGAAGACUAUCAAACUCCGAAUGCCGUCAUCUUAUACUUGGGAGUCAGACUGUGGGUGAUAAGAUUCAUAGUCGAAAGGGCAACAGCCCAGAUCGUCAGCUAAGGUCCCUAAAUGUAAGUUAAGUGGUAAAGGAUGUGGGAUUGCACAGACAACCAGGAUGUUGGCUUAGAAGCAGCCACUCAUUCAAAGAGUGCGUAAUAGCUCACUGGUCGAGUGAUCCUGCGCCGAAGAUUUCCGGGGCUAAAACUUACUACCGAAGCUACGGCAUCAGUAAUGAUGGGUAGGGGAGCUUCCCAUACGGGUUGAAGCGUGACCGUAAGGACAUGUGGACAGUAUGGGAGUGAGAAUGUUGGCAUGAGUAGCGAGAUGUGGGUGAGAAUCCCACAGGCCGUAAACCCAAGGUUUCCAGGGAAGGUUCGUCCGCCCUGGGUUAGUCGGGACCUAAGCUGAGGCCGAAAGGCGUAGGUGAUGGACAACAGGUUGAUAUUCCUGUACUACCGAUAACCGUUUGAGAGAAGGGAUGACACAGUAGGAUAAGCUAAGCACACUGUUGGUUAUGUGUGCCCAAGCAUUGAGGCAGUCAAAGUAGGCAAAUCCGCUUUGAUAAUGCUGGGAUGUGAUGGGGAGCGAAAUUUAGUAGCGAAGUAGCUGAUUUCACACUGUCAAGAAAAGUCUCUAUCGAGGUUAAAGGUACCCGUACCGCAAACCGACACAGGUGGGUGAGGAGAGUAUCCUAAGGCCAGCGAGAGAACUGUUGUUAAGGAACUCGGCAAAAUGACCCCGUAACUUAGGGAUAAGGGGUGCCACCAUCCGGUGGCCGCAGAGAAUAGGCCAAGCGACUGUUUACCAAAAAACAUAGGUUUCUGCUAAGUCGCAAGACGAUGUAUUAGGAGCUGACGCCUGCCCGGUGCUGGAAGGUUAAGGGGAUCUGUUAGAGCAAUCGAAGCAGUGAACUUAAGCCCCAGUAAACGGCGGCCGUAACUAUAACGGUCCUAAGGUAGCGAAAUUCCUUGUCGGGUAAGUUCCGACCCGCACGAAAGGCGUAACGAUUUGGGCACUGUCUCAACAACAGACUCGGUGAAAUUGUAAUUCCGGUGAAGAUGCCGGAUACCUGCGACAGGACGGAAAGACCCCAUGGAGCUUUACUGUAGCUUGACAUUGGGUCUUGGUACUACAUGUACAGGAUAGGUGGGAGGCUUUGAAACCAGGACGCCAGUUUUGGCGGAGCCAUCCUUGGGAUACCACCCUUGUAGUACUGGGACUCUAACCAUAGGCCAUGAAUCUGGUCUUGGGACACUGUCAGGUGGGCAGUUUGACUGGGGCGGUCGCCUCCCAAAAGGUAACGGAGGCGCUCAAAGGUUCUCUCAGUACGGUCGGAAAUCGUACGUAGAGUGUAAAGGCAAAAGAGAGCUUGAUUGCAAGACAUACAGGUCGAGCAAGGAUGAAAAUCGGACUUAGUGAUCCGGUGGUUCUGCGUGGAAGGGCCAUCGCUCAACGGAUAAAAGCUACCCUGGGGAUAACAGGCUUAUCUCCCCCAAGAGUCCACAUCGACGGGGAGGUUUGGCACCUCGAUGUCGGCUCAUCACAUCCUGGGGCUGUAGUAGGUCCCAAGGGUUGGGCUGUUCGCCCAUUAAAGUGGUACGCGAGCUGGGUUCAGAACGUCGUGAGACAGUUCGGUCCCUAUCCGUCGCAGGCGUAGGAAAUUUGAGAAGACCUGUCCUUAGUACGAGAGGACCGGGAUGGACGUACCUAUGGUGUACCAGUUGUCCUGCCAAGGGCAUGGCUGGGUAGCUAUGUACGGAAUGGAUAAGCGCUGAAAGCAUCUAAGCGCGAAGCCAACUUCAAGAUAAGAUUUCCCACCGCAAGGGUAAGACCCCAGAAAGACUAUCUGGUUGAUAGGUCGAAGGUGUAAGUGUAGCAAUGUAUUUAGCUUAUCGAUACUAAUAGGUCGAGGACUUGACCAAU
This 2902-nucleotide ribosomal RNA is filed under the name Clostridioides difficile. RNAcentral's name for it is "bacterial LSU rRNA". It matches the Rfam family "Bacterial large subunit ribosomal RNA". The record is from RNAcentral. Lineage: Bacteria; Bacillati; Bacillota; Clostridia; Peptostreptococcales; Peptostreptococcaceae.